AAAGAAACUAGAAAGGCGACAAGAAGGACGGAAAACAACACGUAUGGAAAUAUGUGGAUAAGCAGAAGCAAGAACUUUACUAAGUUGUGUACGGAUAUGAAGACCAUGAUGUCCAGUGAAAGGAAGGCAAAAGUAAACAAUUUUCUUGGAACAUGUAUGGACCUUGGCCUUGGUGUUGUAAAUCCUGUCAAGAAAUGUCCUAAUGCAACUAUCUAUAAGUGCUUUAGGAUAACCAUUGGAAGAAAAGGUUUUCUUAAAAUUUUCCAUUUCAGACUGGAAAGAUAUGUAAGAAGAACAAAUGUUGAAAUAUCGAGAUAUAAGAGAGAAGAGGAGACCUUUUUUGUACAUCAUUGGAAUAAAGCUAUCAAAGUUUGUGAAUAAGCCAGUUGAAGUGCAUUUGUGAUGGACAGAGGUCGUGAAUGAGCCGUUUGAACGCAUUAC
Molecule: non-coding RNA, 441 nt
Organism: Paramuricea clavata
Lineage: Eukaryota; Metazoa; Cnidaria; Anthozoa; Malacalcyonacea; Plexauridae
Source: the annotation of a GenBank genome assembly